AUAGGGGAGCCGGAGGGAAACCGAGUCUUAAUUGGGCGUUAAGUUGCAGGGUAUAGACCCGAAACCCGGUGAUCUAGCCAUGGGCAGGUUGAAGGUUGGGUAACACUAACUGGAGGACCGAACCGACUAAUGUUGAAAAAUUAGCGGAUGACCUGUGGCUGGGGGUGAAAGGCCAAUCAAACCGGGAGAUAGCUGGUUCUCCCCGAAAGCUAUUUAGGUAGCGCCUCGUGAAUUCAUCUCCGGGGGUAGAGCACUGUUUCGGCUAGGGGGCCAUCCCGGCUUACCAACCCGAUGCAAACUGCGAAUACCGGAGAAUGUUAUCACGGGAGACACACGGCGGGUGCUAACGUCCGUCGUGAAGAGGGAAACAACCCAGACCGCCAGCUAAGGUCCCAAAGUCAUGGUUAAGUGGGAAACGAUGUGGGAAGGCCCAGACAGCCAGGAUGUUGGCUUAGAAGCAGCCAUCAUUUAAAGAAAGCGUAAUAGCUCACUGGUCGAGUCGGCCUGCGCGGAAGAUGUAACGGGGCUAAACCAUGCACCGAAGCUGCGGCAGCGAACGUAUCACCCAAGACAACUUUACGGAGUUGACGAUUGACGGAGCGAAGCGACGUCAAAGCGUUCAUUAAAGUCGAGUUGGCUUAGGGAUACGUUCGUUGGGUAGGGGAGCGUUCUGUAAGCCUGUGAAGGUGUGUCGUGAGGCAUGCUGGAGGUAUCAGAAGUGCGAAUGCUGACAUAAGUAACGAUAAAGCGGGUGAAAAGCCCGCUCGCCGGAAGACCAAGGGUUCCUGUCCAACGUUAAUCGGGGCAGGGUGAGUCGACCCCUAAGGCGAGGCCGAAAGGCGUAGUCGAUGGGAAACGGGUUAAUAUUCCCGUACUUGGUGUUACUGCGAAGGGGGGACGGAGAAGGCUAUGUUGGCCGGGCGACGGUUGUCCCGGUUUAAGCGUGUAGGUGUGUGUUCCAGGUAAAUCCGGUUCACUUUAACACUGAGGCGUGACGACGAGGCACUACGGUGCUGAAGCAACAAAUGCCCUGCUUCCAGGAAAAGCCUCUAAGCAUCAGGUAACACGAAAUCGUACCCCAAACCGACACA
Molecule: ribosomal RNA, 1091 nt
Filed under: Salmonella enterica subsp. enterica
Lineage: Bacteria; Pseudomonadati; Pseudomonadota; Gammaproteobacteria; Enterobacterales; Enterobacteriaceae
Description: partial 23S ribosomal RNA
Rfam family: Bacterial large subunit ribosomal RNA
Source: RNAcentral